UGAUGUCUUUUUUAUACUUUUCUGGACCUUGACAGUGUUUUUUACUUGUUUUUAUCCAAAAUAUCUUAAAUUGUGUUCUGAAGACGAACUAAGCUUUUACGGGUUUGGAACGACAUGGGCGUAAGUGAUUAAUGACAAAAUUUUAAUUUUGGGGUGGAGUAUCCCUUAAAUGUGUGUAUCUAUGAAUCUACUAAAGUUAACUUAGCCUGGAAAUUAGUCAUAGCAUGACAAAUGAGUAGGGCAAUUUUAAUUAAAAUACAUAUACAGUAUAUACAUGAAAUGGACAUAGGCCUAGAUGGUAUACAAAUGAAUAACUAACAUAAGUCAGUUUGAAAAUGUGUUUUAAGCUUAUUUUCUUUCUCACAGUGCCGUAGUUGAGUCAUACACUAUGUUAAGGUAAACCCAAAAUGCCAUUGAACAUUCAAUGUGAAACAACUAUAUAAUGAUAAUGUUUUCAUGUUCGUGUUUUGAUACGUUUGUGUUUUGAAUCGUUUACUUGCAGUUCGUUUACAAACAGCACGUGCAGCUUGAACCCGAUGAAGAGCUUCUUCAUCGCUGGCAAACGAUAAGUUGCAGCUUCGACUCAGUGGAUCACAGUUUGCAGUCAGAUUUGUCCCAGCGCUCGAGAAUCACAGCUUUAUUAGGUCUACUUUUACAGUCUUCCCAGCUAACAAAUCCCCGAGAAGCAGACAUUGAGCUGAAGCAUGAGAGAGCAGGUGAAAUAUGACACAGGCGUUUCUUUGUGAGAUUCAGCCCUACAUAUACCUACAUCCUCAUUGUCAUCAAAAGGGGGAGAGUGACAAUGGAUCGGAGCAGACGCUUUGCCCGCAACACUCACCCGUGAGUCGAGAGCUCAUUUUGACAUUGUACAGAGACUGUAAAACUAGGAUCAGGGAACUCCGGGUUGUUCAAGCUGGCGCCGCUUGGCUUUGCUGCUCCUUCUGAAUGUACAAACACGCUUUUGAAGCGCCGUGACUGAUUACAGCUCGCGGAUUAUUAGAAAUGUUCAGUUUUAUUCCUUAAAGCUGUUAAAAGUGGAGAUAAUGGAUAUUUGGCACCAAAGACGUAAUUCCUCAGACCAGUUGAGAUCAGUCAUUUAUGAGGGAGGGAAUGAAUGAUUGAGUUUAUUUUAAUGGUAAUUUGAUAAUCAAAUUUAUUUUAAAUCGUAUCAUUGAUUUGCUGAGCUUUUCACAGUAUAUAGUGUUUCAAAACAGCUUUACUGAAAAUAAUCCAUUAAAUCUUAAAGAUCUUUUUGUUUAAUAAUUUUUCAAAUGUAAAUAAUUUUUUUAAACAUCAUUUUUUACGUUUAUUUAUUUUUAUAUCUUUUAUUUACAGAGAAAUCACCCUUUUUAACUUCAUAUUUUUAUGUAUGUAAAGUGCUUUGAGAUGCUACUUUUAAAGGUGG
This is a long non-coding RNA of Cyprinus carpio (common carp), 1405 nucleotides long. Lineage: Eukaryota; Metazoa; Chordata; Actinopteri; Cypriniformes; Cyprinidae. The record is from Ensembl.